CCUGCUCUCCCGCUCUCUCUCUCUCUCUCUCACUAUAGAGGCUCCCACAGCAGUUCCCAGCCAGUGUGUUCAGCCUGCCUGCCUGCCUGCCUCUGUGUGUGUGUGUGAGCGUGUGUGCGUGCGUCUACUUUGUACUGUGAAGAACACAGCCCAUGUGCUCUGCAUGGACGUUACUGAUACUCUCUUUAGCUUGAUUUUCGACAAGCAGGCAAGAUGUCCAGCACACCACAUGACCCCUUCUAUUCUUCUCCUUUCGGCCCAUUUUAUAGGAGACAUACACCAUACAUGGUACAGCCAGAGUACCGAAUCUAUGAGAUGAACAAGAGACUGCAGUCUCGCACAGAGACAAGGAAACCGAAGCUCAGAGAAGUGAAGACUGUCUGAAUCCAUACAUGGACACCCUGGGACUUGAAUCCCCAGGGGCUGGAUCUUCUAACUCCCCCAUUCAUUGUUCCUUGCUGAAGCAUGCUGGUGAGGCCAUGUUACCUUCUAACUGUCCACUCCCUAUUGGAGGCCCUGACAGCACGUCAGCAUCACUUUUGACCUGCCUAAGUUGAAAUUUUAGUUUUCCAAUGAAAAAUAGAAGACUUAUUAGUAUUAAAGAUUUGGCAGACCCCUCUGAAAGAGAGGGACCUACUCUGUUCUGGGGACAUUACAAGCCCCCAUCCUCUCUUUUCUGGAUUGCCAUGUCCUCUUAACUGCACUCCCUGAUCCCUCAUUCCACCUUAUAAUCCACUCACUGAAAGCAGCCAGGGUGGCAUUUUUGAUGCAUAAAUCAGUCCAUGUGACCCCAGCUUCCCCUCACACCUACAACAAGUGCUAAACUUCUCCCACUAGCUUUAAAGUUUUAUUGAUCAGUUCCUUCUUGAUGGUCCAGUCUUAUCUCCUACCACGUGUUCACUAGACUCAAGCCAUGAGGGGCUUCCUUUGGAUCUAUUAGCUUGCUGAGUUGCUUCACAUCUCAGGGCCUUUGUCCUCAGUAGUGGAAUGGGUACAUGGCUUCCUCCAUAAUAACUCAUUUAAGGAUUGGAAGAACUAAUUUGAAUUAGAAUUUGGCAUGGUACUGCUUUAUUUGCAGGCAAUCAAUUAGAGAGUCCCAGCACUUAGGAGGUCCUCUACUGACCAACUUAGGUGCCCCCAUCAAAGAGAGACCUUCCUCAAUCACCUCAAUUAAAAUGAACCCCCAAUCACUUUCUAUUGCAUCCCUCUUCAUUUUCUUCUUAGAAAUUACUGCCAGCUGAUGUUUUCUUGCUGCUUCUUUGUUUCCUAAGUGCUGCCUGUCCUCAACAGAAUAUAAGCCCUGUGAGGGCAGGAACCUGGUGGCUCUGUUGAUAGUUGUCCCUCCAAUGCCCUGCAGCAUGUAGCUGUCAUGCAAAAUGUAUUUGUUGAAUAAAGGAAAUUAAGUUUCACCUGUCCUAGGAAAAAUGAAUAUACUCACAUAAAAAAUUUCUAUUGGUGAAACUAGUACUUCCAGACCGACACUGCAGUUUGCCCUGAAUCUGACCAACAAUUGCCUACAGUCCCAGCUGGAGAAGAAUCUGAGAGCCUAAUAGACCAGUUGGUGUUCACUGGUAGACUGCAUAGCCAGACCUGCCAGAAAAAGCCCUGAGAAAGAACAAUUUCGUCUGUGAAAGAAGUGCUGACCUGAGAACUGUGCCCUUUGGGUAGUGUAGAUCUGUUGGGAAUCUCCUGACUUCUGAUUAAAAAUAUUUAUACUUGC
Long non-coding RNA from Galeopterus variegatus (Sunda flying lemur), 1720 nucleotides. RefSeq lists it as uncharacterized. The record is from RefSeq and is a predicted model, not a curated record. Lineage: Eukaryota; Metazoa; Chordata; Mammalia; Dermoptera; Cynocephalidae. The transcript has 2 exons.